RNAcentral lists this ribosomal RNA (435 nucleotides) under uncultured Actinomycetes bacterium. Its description in RNAcentral is "bacterial SSU rRNA". It matches the Rfam family "Bacterial small subunit ribosomal RNA", at positions 917 to 1348 of the family's 1533-position model. Lineage: Bacteria; Bacillati; Actinomycetota; Actinomycetes. The record is from RNAcentral.
GGGCCCGCACAAGCGGCGGAGCAUGCGGAUUAAUUCGAUGCAACGCGAAGAACCUUACCUGGGUUCGACAUAUGCCGGAAAGCUCUAGAGAUAGAGCCCCUUUUAGUCGGUAUACGGGUGGUGCAUGGCUGUCGUCAGCUCGUGUCGUGAGAUGUUGGGUUAAGUCCCGCAACGAGCGCAACCCUCGUUCUAUGUUGCCAGCAUGCCCUUCGGGGUGAUGGGGACUCAUAGGAGACUGCCGGGGUCAACUCGGAGGAAGGUGGGGAUGACGUCAAGUCAUCAUGCCCCUUAUGUCCAGGGCUUCACGCAUGCUACAAUGGCCGGUACAAAGGGCUGCGAUGCUGCAAGGCGGAGCGAAUCCCAAAAAGCCGGUCUCAGUUCGGAUUGGGGUCUGCAACUCGACCCCAUGAAGUCGGAGUCGCUAGUAAUCGCAGA